AACGCACAUUGCGCCCUCUGGUAUUCCGGGGGGCAUGCCUGUUCGAGCGUCAUUACAACCCUCAAGCUCUGCUUGGUACUGGGUGUUACCAUCUUGGUACUCCUUAAAAUCAGUGGCGGUAGCAUCUGGCUUCUAGCGUAGUAAUACUCCUCGCUAUGGAGUCUGAUGUGUACUUUGCCAUCAACCCCCAACUUCAAAGGUUGACCUCGGAUCAGGUAGGGAUACCCGCUGAACUUAA
RNAcentral lists this unclassified non-coding RNA (238 nucleotides) under uncultured fungus. RNAcentral's name for it is "sequence contains ITS2". The stretch from base 1 to 52 matches the Rfam family "5.8S ribosomal RNA", at positions 103 to 154 of the family's 154-position model. Lineage: Eukaryota; Fungi. The record is from RNAcentral.